GACUAUGGCACAACCUGCACAACCCCGAUCCUGUCUGAUCUCGGAAGCUAAGCAGGGUUGGGCCUGGUUAAUACUUGGAUGGGAGACCACCUAGGAAGACCAGGUGCUGUAGGCA
Molecule: non-coding RNA, 115 nt
Organism: Pteropus alecto (black flying fox)
Lineage: Eukaryota; Metazoa; Chordata; Mammalia; Chiroptera; Pteropodidae
Source: Rfam